This 984-nucleotide long non-coding RNA is filed under the name Anas platyrhynchos platyrhynchos (common mallard). RNAcentral describes it as "lncRNA (ENSAPLG00000018865.1)". The record is from RNAcentral. Lineage: Eukaryota; Metazoa; Chordata; Aves; Anseriformes; Anatidae.
GCUAGCCGCUUUGUGAGUUCAUAAUUCUACCUUACACAUAUGGCUUCCUUCACAAUUGUUUCUCUACAAGUUGGCCAAAGGAACACUGCAGUGUAGGGGAAAGCUCAAGGAAGAGCAGAGGGCAAAUGUAGAGGUCCUGGGAAUGAGGUGGUUUCUUGUGUCUUUUGACAAGGAGUAUGAGGCUUUGACAAGGAGUAACAACAGCUAUAAGGUUUCCUGGUUUCCUAUCCAAGGCAAAAGGAACAUCUUGGCUUCUCCCAGGGCUGUGGACGGAGAAGGCUUGGAGGUGAGGAAAAGAGAGGAAACAAGGUGGAUUGGAUUGGAAAGGUGUAAAUGUGAAAAUACAGUGAAAACUGGAUAAAAGGAGCCAGCUGGGUAUAGACCUAUUGCUGGUGACACCUGCCUAAUGAAGCUUUGCACCCAAUUACGACUUAUUAUUAAUAUCCAUUUCAAAGUAUUGUCCUAGGAGAGGGACUUGUGUGUGUGUGAGUAUAUGUGUGUGUGUGUGUGUGUAUCUAUAUAUGUAUUUAUGUAUGUAUGAGGAAAUCUAAAUGGCAGCAGCUGGAGAAGGGACCUUGGUCACAGUUGACCACAGAUCUAAGAGGCCACCAACAGGAGACAACUGGUGUGCGUAUGUUUCCCUGUGUAACUUCAAUCCUAUGUGUUUAUACGUGUGUAAUUCUUUAGUAAACACAACUAGAGAAGCUGUCAUGUAGGCUAAAGGGGUCUAGGAGCCAGCUACUGGGGAGACCACAAAUUCAAGAGCUAGCUACUUCAAAGACCAUAGAUCUAGACCAGAUCCAAAAGGCCCAUGUAUUUAUGUGUCUGCAUGUGUGUAAAUCUGAGUACCUGUAGCUGAAGUGGGGUUGUGGGAUACAGGAUGCCAGAAUCAGGGUGACCUGGGACGUGGAGGUCAGCUACAGGCUAGGCUGGGUGUUUGAGGCAGUUACUAGAGGGAUGCAUAUUGUGUGUUGAUUUAUAUAC